Long non-coding RNA from Mobula hypostoma (lesser devil ray), 315 nucleotides. RefSeq lists it as uncharacterized. The record is from RefSeq and is a predicted model, not a curated record. The transcript has 4 exons. NCBI's taxonomy places the organism in Eukaryota, Metazoa, Chordata, Chondrichthyes, Myliobatiformes, Myliobatidae.
UCCCAGGGAUGUGAAAAGAACUUGGGGCAUCUGUGGAAAACCCACAUGAUCUCUGGAAGAAUGGGCAAAAUCCUCACAGACAGCACCGAAGGUCAAGAGAAGCCACACUGUCAGCGGUGUGAGGCAGCGCAAUACCACUGAACCACAUUUCUUUACAUAGCUGCUUUCAUGAAGUGAGACCAAAAAGCGCUAAUUCUUUCAAAUCAGAUUGACAGCCAUUGGAACAAUGAAGAAAGAGGUCUGGACUCAAGGUGAACAAAAUGUUCUCUAAUCUGCAAGGGGAAGAUGAAUAUGGAACCCUAUUUACUGGUCUCC